GAGCGAUCUUCUUCGGAAGAGAGCGGCGGACGGGUGAGUAACGCGUGGGUAACCUGCCCUGUACACACGGAUAACAUACCGAAAGGUAUGCUAAUACGGGAUAACAUAAGAAAGUCGCAUGGCUUUCUUAUCAAAGCUCCGGCGGUACAGGAUGGACCCGCGUCUGAUUAGCUAGUUGGUAAGGUAACGGCUUACCAAGGCGACGAUCAGUAGCCGACCUGAGAGGGUGAUCGGCCACAUUGGAACUGAGACACGGUCCAAACUCCUACGGGAGGCAGCAGUGGGGAAUAUUGCACAAUGGGCGAAAGCCUGAUGCAGCAACGCCGCGUGAGCGAUGAAGGCCUUCGGGUCGUAAAGCUCUGUCCUCAAGGAAGAUAAUGACGGUACUUGAGGAGGAAGCCCCGGCUAACUACGUGCCAGCAGCCGCGGUAAUAAU
Molecule: ribosomal RNA, 436 nt
Filed under: uncultured bacterium
Lineage: Bacteria
Description: bacterial SSU rRNA
Rfam family: Bacterial small subunit ribosomal RNA
Source: RNAcentral